This is a long non-coding RNA of Argiope bruennichi, 633 nucleotides long. RefSeq lists it as uncharacterized. NCBI's taxonomy places the organism in Eukaryota, Metazoa, Arthropoda, Arachnida, Araneae, Araneidae. The transcript has 6 exons. The record is from RefSeq and is a predicted model, not a curated record.
GUCUCGGCAGGAGGUAGCAAGGCCAUUCAUUUUCUUCGUUUGUCAUUAGUAUAAAAUACGCGUACCAUUCCUUUUUUAUUAUUAUUAUUUCAAACAUAUUCACAACGCAUUUUCAGGUAAAAAGUGAAAUGUUUCUAGGCGUUUUUCUUUAUUUGACUGCUGUGUUUAUGGCAGAGUCAGUGAAGGCAUCUACAAUAGAGGAAGCGAAGGCUUUGAAAAUUGCCUUUUGCGAUAAUGAUGUUACAGGGGAUAAAAUAGAAAACUGCUUUGGACAAAUACAGAAAACAUAAAUACCAGAAGAGUUUGAUAAAAUCGCCAAACAGUGCUGUCCUGGAGUUGGAGAUCGCAAAACGGGCAAGGAAGUCAGAGAUUGGUAUUGCAGCACGAGUGUGGAAACCAUAAAAAAGUGCAAUGAAUGUCAAGAAGAAAAAUUAAAAAAUGUUGCAAAUAAAGAAGAGAUAAAGAAAGUCAUGGCUCCUUUUGAAGAUUGCAUUUUGCAUGUAUUCUCAAAUUCUACUGAUGAAGUAUAAAACAAGAAUGUUUGAUUGUCAGAAAGAUUCGGGAAAAUUACUUUUGGUUUCUGGAAAAGAAGUGUAUUUUCGUUUGCUCUAAUGUCAUUAUUUCCUUUUAAAU